This 345-nucleotide unclassified non-coding RNA is filed under the name soil metagenome. RNAcentral's name for it is "partial contains 5.8S ribosomal RNA, internal transcribed spacer 2, and large subunit ribosomal RNA". The stretch from base 1 to 120 matches the Rfam family "5.8S ribosomal RNA", at positions 35 to 154 of the family's 154-position model. The record is from RNAcentral.
GAUGAAGAAGGUAGCGAAAUGCGAUACGUCAUGUGAAUUGCAGAAUUCAGUGAAUCAUCGAGUCUUUGAACGCACAUUGCGCCCCCUGGUAUUCCGGGGGGCAUGCCUGUCCGACCGUCAUUGCUGCCCUCAAGCACGGCUUGUGUGUUGGGCCUCCGUCCUCCUCCCGGGGGACGGGCCCGAAAGGCAGCGGCGGCACCGCGUCCGGUCCUCGAGCGUAUGGGGCUUCGUCACCCGCUCUUGUAGGCCCGGCCGGCGCUUGCCGACACAUCAAUCUUUUUUCCAGGUUGACCUCGGAUCAGGUAGGGAUACCCGCUGAACUUAAGCAUAUCAAUAAGCGGAGGA